UCGAGGACGACCUCAAAAUCACCUUUUCGGCCGGGACGACCCGG
Molecule: non-coding RNA, 44 nt
Organism: Rhodopseudomonas palustris CGA009
Lineage: Bacteria; Pseudomonadati; Pseudomonadota; Alphaproteobacteria; Hyphomicrobiales; Nitrobacteraceae
Source: Rfam